This 253-nucleotide ribosomal RNA is filed under the name uncultured bacterium. RNAcentral's name for it is "partial 16S ribosomal RNA". It matches the Rfam family "Bacterial small subunit ribosomal RNA", at positions 524 to 776 of the family's 1533-position model. The record is from RNAcentral.
GACGGAAGGUGCAAGCGUUGCUCGGAAUUAUUGGGCGUAAAGGGCGCGUAGGCGGCCUUUCAAGUGACGGGUGAAAUCCCUCGGCUUAACCGAGGAACUGCCUGUCAGACUGGAAGGCUUGAGACCGGGAGAGGUGAGUGGAAUUCCCAGUGUAGCGGUGAAAUGCGUAGAUAUUGGGAGGAACACCAGUGGCGAAGGCGGGUCUCUGGGCCGAUACUGACGCUGAGGAGCGAAAGCGUGGGGAGCGAACAGG